AAAAUUCACAAUGCAGAGGUACUUCCUCUUUGUGCUGAUGUCAUUUAUACUUUCUGCAUUGAUGAUAGUAUAGCAAAAUCAUAGGAAAAAUGAUUCUAUUGUCAAAUCUGUUCAGUCUACUCAAUGGUUGAUUGUAAACAACUUAUUCUAAUCACAGUAGUGACAUAGAGAAAACACAGAUGGGGGCAUUGGGACUAUUAUACUUUAUUCUUUUUUCCUUUUUACAUCUUUUGGCUUGUUUCAGCCUAAUUAAUUCUUCACUUUCAUAUGACACGUCUCCUUUAGACAAAUAGACAAGUUAAUUAUAUUUUCAUGCCUAAUUAAGUUUGGCUUUCUAACUAAAGCAUGAUUCUUCAUAUAAUAAUUUGUUAUAUUGCCAAAUUGCAAAAUCAAUGUUAGUUUGAUGAUUUGAAAUGUUCUUAAAUCAAUUGUUCCCCUGCCUAUAAAAGCUUUUCAUGUUUUGCAGGAGCCUAUAUAUACUAAUUUCUUCUCUUAGAAUCUUGUUCAUUUUUUCCUCUUGCCUUUUGGGGGGUAGAUUUGUGGAAUUAUCAAUGUUGAAAUGCCUUCUCUCUAUAUAUUUGUUUAUUGCUUUUAGUUUUCCAUAUGAUAUUUGUUGAUGAGUUGGAUGUAGGUGCUAUUUCGUGAGGAUGCCACAGUUGAUGAUCUCAU
Molecule: unclassified non-coding RNA, 669 nt
Filed under: Hevea brasiliensis (rubber tree)
Lineage: Eukaryota; Viridiplantae; Streptophyta; Magnoliopsida; Malpighiales; Euphorbiaceae
Source: RNAcentral